Molecule: small nucleolar RNA, 128 nt
Organism: Nerophis ophidion (straightnose pipefish)
Lineage: Eukaryota; Metazoa; Chordata; Actinopteri; Syngnathiformes; Syngnathidae
Product: small nucleolar RNA SNORA24
Exons: 1
Source: RefSeq, a predicted model, not a curated record
AUCCACGUUACCAUGGGAGCUGUGUUUUCAUGGCAGUCUCCCUUCCUAGGCGUGGUACAGCAUUUCCUUGUUCUUGUUCACUGUUUCUUGUGUUGUCAUAAGACGCAUGGCUGGAAGAAGGAACAUGU